GACGAACGCUGGCGGCGUGCUUAACACAUGCAAGUCGAACGGAAAGGCCCUGCUUUUGUGGGGUGCUCGAGUGGCGAACGGGUGAGUAACACGUGAGUAACCUGCCCUUGACUUUGGGAUAACUUCAGGAAACUGGGGCUAAUACCGGAUAGGAGCUCCUGCUGCAUGGUGGGGGGUGGAAAGUUUCGGCGGUUGGGGAUGGACUCGCGGCUUAUCAGCUUGUUGGUGGGGUAGUGGCUUACCAAGGCUUUGACGGGUAGCCGGCCUGAGAGGGUGACCGGCCACAUUGGGACUGAGAUACGGCCCAGACUCCUACGGGAGGCAGCAGUGGGGAAUAUUGCACAAUGGGCGGAAGCCUGAUGCAGCAACGCCGCGUGCGGGAUGACGGCCUUCGGGUUGUAAACCGCUUUCGCCUGUGACGAAGCGUGAGUGACGGUACUGGGUAAAGAAGCACCGGCUAACUACGUG
RNAcentral lists this ribosomal RNA (468 nucleotides) under uncultured bacterium. Its description in RNAcentral is "partial 16S ribosomal RNA". It matches the Rfam family "Bacterial small subunit ribosomal RNA", at positions 28 to 507 of the family's 1533-position model. The record is from RNAcentral.